UGGGGAAUUUUGGACAAUGGGCGAAGCCUGAAUCCAGCCAAAUGCCGCGUGUGUGAAGAGGGCCUUCGGGUUGUAAAGCACUUUUGUCCGGAAAGAAAUCCUUGGCUCUAAUACAGUCGGGGGAUGACGGUACCGGAAGAAUAAGCACCGGCUAACUACGUGCCAGCAGCCGCGGUAAUACGUAGGGUGCAAGCGUUAAUCGGAAUUACUGGGCGUAAAGCGUGCGCAGGCGGUUUGCUAAGACCGAUGUGAAAUCCCCGGGCUCAACCUGGGAACUGCAUUGGUGACUGGCAGGCUAGAGUAUGGCAGAGGGGGGUAGAAUUCCACGUGUAGCAGUGAAAUGCGUAGAGAUGUGGAGGAAUACCGAUGGCGAAGGCAGCCCCCCUGGGGCCAAUACUGACGCUCAUGCACGAAAGCGUGGGGAGCAAACAGGAUUAGAUACCCUGGUAGUCCACGCCCUAAACGAUGUCAACUAGUUGUUGGGGAUUCAUUUCCUUAGUAACGUAGCUAACGCGUGAAGUUGACCGCCUGGGGGAGUACGGUCGCAAGAUUAAAACUC
RNAcentral lists this ribosomal RNA (559 nucleotides) under uncultured bacterium. RNAcentral's name for it is "partial 16S ribosomal RNA". It matches the Rfam family "Bacterial small subunit ribosomal RNA", at positions 355 to 902 of the family's 1533-position model. The record is from RNAcentral.